Molecule: small nuclear RNA, 107 nt
Organism: Pongo abelii (Sumatran orangutan)
Lineage: Eukaryota; Metazoa; Chordata; Mammalia; Primates; Hominidae
Source: Ensembl
GUGCUCGCUUCAGCAGCACAUAUACUAAAAUUGGAACAAUACAGAAAAGAUUAGCAUGGCCCCUGUGCAAGGAUGACAUGCAAAUUCAUGAAGCAUUUCAUAUGAAA